CCAGCGACUGGUCCCCCCAACUGAUUUCCCCCGCCCCCUCCCUGGCCGGCACUUUGGGGAGGAAUGGAGGAAGCGCCUUUCCCCUUUCGGACAGGAAUGAAGCCGUGGGGUCUGACCUCCCCCUGCCCUGAAGGAGUUAUGGAGGGGAGCGAGCAGGGCCUGUGCGAGAAUUGUCUUUUGUGAAAGGAAGAAAACGUGCUUGCCCACCGUAAACUGUUUUUGAACAUAUUUCCAGUACAGUGGUGGUCCAGAAGAUGAUAAAGAAAUGAUAGCAGCUCCAGAAAUACCAACUGAUUUUACUCUCCUUCAGUAAGUAACAGUGCUUAAUGCAGCCAUAAGAAGGUUAUUCUGUCAAGUAGUUAGUGAUUUAAAUCUAAAGCAUUGCUUGAAUGGUGUCCUGUGUUUCCAGGGGAGUUAAAAUAGCAAUCGUAUAACUGGUUUAACUUUAUUUUUUACUAUAGAUUUUUAGAAUCUUUAAUGAGCGUUUUGCUAGUAGGAGAAGCUAUUGUCAUGGUCACAGAAUAGUUUCCAUUAUAAAAACAUUUUUCUGAUGCUUAUAACUUUCUGAAAAACUUUUCUUUUGGAUUAGAAAUUUUCUGGACAGAAAUAUGAGUAAUGUCAAGUCGACGUCUUUCUGUUUUUGGAGACAGAUGUUGAUUGAGGUCUUUUUUGAAGGGCUAGGGUUGCUUAAUCCUUAACCGAGAGUUGCUUUUUUGCCAAAUGUUUGUUCGUUAUAUAUAUGUAUAUGUGUGUGUUUUUGAUAAACUUGAAAUGAUAUCACUUCUCAGAUACCUGUGAUAUCUUCCUACUGGUUUUCCAGUCAUCCAUAAUCUUCCAGGGUAGACAAAAUCUGGGUUCCUAAUGUGGGUUGUUUUUGUUUUUUAAAUAGUGGAGGAAAAGCAAAAUGUAUCUCAUAGGUACAGACAGAAACCUUUUAGGCCUUCUUUAUACAUAAUCAAUUUUUUCCUUUGUAAUUCACUUUUAAGAAAUUCUAAAAACCCUUCUUUGAGUCAUGACUUCAGCUGAAAAGUACCUAAAAUUUGAUCUCUACUUGUAAUUAUUAAUGAAGAGUACCAACUUUCUUCGGGUUGGUUGGGAACAUUAAAAAAGGACUG
This 1115-nucleotide long non-coding RNA is filed under the name Chrysemys picta bellii (western painted turtle). RNAcentral's name for it is "lncRNA (ENSCPBG00000014277.1)". The record is from RNAcentral. Lineage: Eukaryota; Metazoa; Chordata; Testudines; Emydidae.